This 265-nucleotide ribosomal RNA is filed under the name uncultured Acholeplasma sp. RNAcentral describes it as "partial 16S ribosomal RNA". It matches the Rfam family "Bacterial small subunit ribosomal RNA", at positions 1120 to 1381 of the family's 1533-position model. The record is from RNAcentral. Lineage: Bacteria; Bacillati; Mycoplasmatota; Mollicutes; Acholeplasmatales; Acholeplasmataceae.
AUCAUUCAUUGGGGACUCCUAGCGAGACUGUCCAGUGAGUAAACUGGAGGAAGGUGGGGAGUGACGUCAAAUCAUCGAUGCCCUUAUGACCUGGGCUACAAACGUCAUACAAUGGCUGAAACAAAGAGAAGCGAAGCAGUGAAUGUGGAGCAAAACUCGAUAAAAGCAGUCUCAGUUCAGAUUGUAGUCUGCAACUCGACUACAUGAAGUCGGAAUCGCUAGUAAUCGCAGAUCAGCAUGCUGCGGUGAAUACGUUCUCGGGUUU